AUUGAACGCUGGCGGCAGGCCUAACACAUGCAAGUCGAACGGUAGCACAGAGAGCUUGCUCUCGGGUGACGAGUGGCGGACGGGUGAGUAAUGUCUGGGAAACUGCCCGGUGGAGGGGGAUAACUACCGGAAACGGUAGCUAAUACCGCAUAACGUCUUCGGACCAAAGUGGGGGACCUUCGGGCCUCACACCAUCGGAUGUGCCCAGAUGGGAUUAGCUAGUAGGUGGGGUGACGGCACACCUAGGCGACGAUCCCUAGCUGGUCUGAGAGGAUGACCAGCCACACUGGAACUGAGACACGGUCCAGACUCCUACGGGAGGCAGCAGUGGGGAAUAUUGCACAAUGGGCGCAAGCCUGAUGCAGCCAUGCCGCGUGUAUGAAGAAGGCCUUCGGGUUGUAAAGUACUUUCAGCGGGGAGGAAGGCGAUGAAGUUAAUAGCUUCGCCGAUUGACGUUACCCGCAGAAGAAGCACCGGCUAACUCCGUGCCAGCCGCCGCCGUAA
RNAcentral lists this ribosomal RNA (504 nucleotides) under uncultured bacterium. RNAcentral describes it as "partial 16S ribosomal RNA". It matches the Rfam family "Bacterial small subunit ribosomal RNA", at positions 29 to 523 of the family's 1533-position model. The record is from RNAcentral.